Long non-coding RNA from Equus caballus (horse), 3530 nucleotides. NCBI's taxonomy places the organism in Eukaryota, Metazoa, Chordata, Mammalia, Perissodactyla, Equidae. The record is from Ensembl.
UUUGAGUUAAGUUUUUCUUUUGCUUUUAUUACAAGCAUAUAAUAUUAAUUGGCAAAACACUGAAUACAAGCUUCACUAUCAUAAAAUCAAAACAUUGAAGCAAUAUUCCAAAAAAGAUUUUAGACAAAAACUAGCCACCGAGUACAAAAAUUACACACCAACAUAAAGCAUAAAAAAUGUAAACUUUCAAAUUAAACAGUCAAAAAUAUGUAUCUGCAUUGUCAUCUUCAUAAACUGCGACAGCUUCCACGUUGCCACGCAUGGUGGGCCGGCUCAGCACCACCUCACCCUGAACCCACAUCCUUUGGGAAAAUGGUUUUCUUACACCCAAUUAUGUUGCUGGAUAGACAUUUACACUAAUGCUACACACGCUGGGGGCACCCACACUGCAGUCCAUCCUCAGACGUGCUCGCGGACGCGGUAAGUUACACACGACACCCUGGCCCGGGCUGGCCAUGCACUGCCCGUCCGGCAGGGACGGGAUCUUCGUAAAGACUACGCUGUAGUUUGAUAUUUACUGAGUGUGUUUAAAUACCAAGGCAGAGAAACACACUGGUUUAUCACGCUAAGGUCACGUGUGAUGUGGUGGAGUGUAAAUGAUUUCCUGAGGAAACAGAGAAACUGGGUUUUUUGUGAUUUUGCUAUCGGCACUAAAUUUAUUUUCAAUAUUUGGAGAGCACAUUGAAUAUUCACGCACAACGUAGACAUCAGCUGGCUCGUUCCUAUCCAAUGACACAUUUCAAAUCACUGUAAAACACUAUCCUGUGCACUUUGAGAAAAGAACCAAACGAAUUUCUAAGACUUGGAAUGCCACGAGGAGGCAUCGGAGGCCGAGCCUGGAGGCUCAGGAGCCCCGGGGAAGUAGCACCGUCACGUGUGGGGUCCUACGGGGGUGGUGCAUCCAGGGCCGUGAGCAGGCGGGUCGAGGGCACAAACCCCGGGCAGCCAUGAGGCUGGCCUACGAUGGCGCCACACAUCACUUCACGGCUGCCUGCCCCGUCACUUAUAUUUAAAUAUUGCUGACAGGUAUUCUUGCACAGGCACACGCACAAUCCUGAUAACUGUGUUCUUAUAAUAGCAACAAUGAAAAAGGAAAAACCAAAUAGCUGAAUGUAUAUAUUUUGAAGUUCCACCUACAUUCCCUUUCAAUUUAGCAGAAUAGAUGCUACAUUGCAAUUUAAACAUCUAAUAAACGCAUAUUGGAACCUAUUGCACAAAAGCAUAAACAAUGCUCUUCAUCCAUAUAAAACAAAAACAUACAAAUUAAAAGCUACUCAAAGUAAAAAGAAGAAGCUUGCAAAACAUCUCACAAUUUCAUUUUAUAUGCCUGUAAAUAAAGCUGGACCACUGAAACCAAACGAUUGGAUGGGAAAAUACGAUAGAAGGCUUAAAAUAGAAUAAAUAAUUUUAUAAAGUUUUUUUUAACCCCCCAAAUCUUAAAUUUAAUAUUAUAUAUUCUAUCUGAAUUUUCUAUUUCCAUGAAAACGGUGUCUAGCGAGGGUCCCACCGGUGCUGACAGCGAUGUGGGGCGGGAGCUGAACAGCACGAGCCUCCCCAGCACAGCAGCUGCGAAACUCCACAGCAACUCCACUGCUAAAACCUUCAGAGGGUCCAAUCAGUAACUGAUCCUGGCUUUCAUGCUGGAAAAAAUAAAAUUCAGGCUUUUGAUGUUAAAUGAAAGCAUGACAAAAUGAAGGAGACCCCUGAAGCUUCCCGACGGCAGGGUUCACCAGGCUGCAGUCUUCAUAAGGCCGCGUCAGACCAAAGCGGCCGGAGGCCACCAGGGAUCGCCCUGUAGUGAAGGCGGUCUGCAGGAGGACAUCUUAGAAAAAUAGGUACUUUUGCUGCUGAGGUUUCAUCAGGUUAACACGAUUACAAAAGCGGGUCACACAAGAGCGGUCAGCAACCAGCUGGAGAUGUUAAUACUGGCUCCGACUUAUCUCCACCUCUCUGUAUAUUUAAAUAUAUCAACUUAGCACCAUAGCAAAUUCAAGUGAUUUCAAAGAUAGCUACAAAGUUACAAAUAUAUAAUAUGAGAUUAUUACAGCGAUAUUAAGUUUAAUCUGAACUGUGAAUUAAUUUUAUUUGAAUUUGGAUGCUCAUACUGUUUAAUCCUUCCUUACUUUCACCACACAGGAAAAUACCUAAAUUCUAAUGUUACACUUAAAACUGCAUUGUGAUAACGUGGUUUUACAGAAUGCUUCAGCAGUAAGGUAUCUUUUGAGGUAGACAGGUAAUAUUUACUCACACACAUCUACUCAUUAAACUGUGUAGAAUAACUCUAAAUGUGAUUUGGAUGAAUAGCAAGCUUAGGUAAUUGAAAAAUUCAAACACCACUGGCAGUUAAUGGGCUUAAAUAAAAAGGCGAAUUUUGAUCAAUUCCUAACAAAGAAGUUGUUUUUAUGUUUUUAAAAGACCUUACAUUAAAAUCACUUGGACUGAAUUAAUUUGAAUGUUUUUCUCACCCUUUAGACUAGGUCUCAGUAGCUGCUUCUGACAUUCAUGUACGUAAAACAGGAAGCAGAAGAAAACAAACAAAAUUGAAUGUUGAUGAGCGCAACUUUAACUUUCAAAGCAAAUUCAAGAAAAGAGUCUAGUCACUAAGAUGAAAUACUUCCUGGAAAACCCAGCCCUCGGGGCCACCAUCAGAGACCUGUCCACUGACAAGGGCGGUGGGUGAACCACUCCCACCAGAAAAGGAGGAGGACCUGAAGCUCACUGGGAAGUCAGAGGACACACGGACGGAGGUGACAAGGAAGCUCCAGGAUGACUGUGACGGCUCCAGAGGACUGGUCCUGUCUCCUCAUUCUUGCCUUUACACCAUUUUAAAGUAACAGAUAUCUAUGUGCUGGCAGUUUGUUUAUUCUCUAAAUCCACAAACAUAUUAACAUUUGGGAGGAGGAGGGGGUAACCGAGCGUGUGCUGCCUGUGACCGGCGUUAUAGGUCAUCAAGUCACUGGACAAGCAGCUGCUGCCGCACGGCGCACUCCCCCGGGCACUCCGCUGCCCCCCUGCUCCUGUGCUUGGCCCAUUAGCAGCCACGAAGUGUGUGAGCUCUUUCCAUGAGCAGAGAGGAGGGGAGGGUGGACGUGGUGGGAACCAGGCGUUUGUACACCUGGAGCUGCGGGAGCAGACGCCCUCGCAGGGCGGCACCGCUCGUCUGAUGGAAAAGCCCCUCCACAAACGCCACCACCUCUCUUCAGCAGAAUGAAAAUGGGAAAGAAUGAGUAGGAGAUUAAACGAUGGCACGGAACAAUCUGUGCCCUGUUCAAUAAAAGCCAUUUUUCACAACAGUUGUUCAACAGACCAGCAGUAAGCUGGACAAACGACCUCUGGUCUACCAGCUGGGCGUGCCAGGGACGGUGAGCACCAAGUCUCAGCCGUGUCCAGUUCGGGGGGCAACGAAAGGUUAAGUUUUUUGGCGAUGAACUUCUUUAGAUGUAGGACUGUGGCUUGGGCUGAGCAGCGGAUCCACUUCCGUUUCAAGCCACGCAGUUUGCUGCUGUUGCACUCCAGGCAGAUGCUCACCU